GACGAACGCUGGCGGCGUGCCUAACACAUGCAAGUUGAGCGACGAACCAGGGCUUGCCCUGGGGCAAAGCAGCGAACGGGUGAGUAACACGUGGGUAACCUACCCCGAUAACCGGGACAACCCGAGGAAACUCGGGCUAAUACCGGAUGUGCUCACUGGACUUCGGUUCAGUGCGUAAAGGAAGCUUCGGCCUCCGUAUCGGGAGGGGCCCGCGGCCCAUUAGUUUGUUGGUGAGGUAACGGCUCACCAAGACCGCGAUGGGUAGCUGGUCUGAGAGGACGAUCAGCCACACUGGGACUGAGACACGGCCCAGACUCCUACGGGAGGCAGCAGUGGGGAAUCUUGCGCAAUGCGCGAAAGCGUGACGCAGCAACGCCGCGUGGGGGAAGAAGGCCUUCGGGUUGUAAACCCCUUUCAGGAGGGACGAAGGUUCGGCGGUGAAUAGCCGUCCGGACUGACGGUACCUCCACAAGAAGCCCCGGCGAACUACGU
This 492-nucleotide ribosomal RNA is filed under the name uncultured bacterium. RNAcentral describes it as "partial 16S ribosomal RNA". It matches the Rfam family "Bacterial small subunit ribosomal RNA", at positions 28 to 506 of the family's 1533-position model. The record is from RNAcentral.